AGUGAACGCUGGCGGUAGGCCUAACACAUGCAAGUCGAACGGCAGCACAGUAAGAGCUUGCUCUUACGGGUGGCGAGUGGCGGACGGGUGAGGAAUACAUCGGAAUCUACUUUUUCGUGGGGGAUAACGUAGGGAGACUUAUGCUAAUACCGCAUACGACCUACGGGUGAAAGCAGGGGAUCUUCGGACCUUGCGCGAUUGAAUGAGCCGAUGUCGGAUUAGCUAGUUGGCGGGGUAAAGGCCCACCAAGGCGACGAUCCGUAGCUGGUCGGAGAGGAUGAUCAGCCACAUGGGAACUUGGACACGGACCAGAGUCCUACGGGAGGGAGCAGUGGGGAAUAUUGGACAAUGGGCGCAAGCCUGAUCCAGCCAUACCGCGUGUGUGAAGAAGGCGUUCGGGUUGUAAAGCCCUUUUGUUGGGAAAGAAAAGCAGCAGGUUAAGACCCCGCUGUUCUGACGGUACCCAAAGAAUAAGCACCGGCUAACUUCGUG
Molecule: ribosomal RNA, 492 nt
Filed under: uncultured bacterium
Lineage: Bacteria
Description: partial 16S ribosomal RNA
Rfam family: Bacterial small subunit ribosomal RNA
Source: RNAcentral